RNAcentral lists this ribosomal RNA (433 nucleotides) under uncultured bacterium. Its description in RNAcentral is "partial 16S ribosomal RNA". It matches the Rfam family "Bacterial small subunit ribosomal RNA", at positions 29 to 507 of the family's 1533-position model. The record is from RNAcentral.
AACGAACGCUGGCGGCAUGCCUAACACAUGCAAGUCGAACGAGACCUUCGGGUCUUGUGGCGCACGGGUUCGUAACGCGUGGGAACCUGCCCUUAGGUUCGGAAUAACUCCCCGAAAGGGGUGCUAAUACCGGAUCAUGUCUUCGGACCAAAGAUUUAUCGCCUUUGGAUGUGCCCGCGUUGGAUUAGCUAGUUGGUAGGGUAAAAGCCUACCAAGGCGACGAUCCAUAGCUGGUAUGAGAGGCAGAUCAGCGACACUGGGACUGAGACACGGCCCAGAAUCCUACGGGAGGGAGCAGAGGGGAAUAUUGGAAAAUGGGCGAAAGGCUGAUCCAGCAAGGCCGCGUGAGUGAUGAAGGCCUGAGGGUUGUAAAGCUCUUUUACCCGGGAUGAUAAUGACAGUACCGGGAGAAUAAGCUCCGGCUAACUCCGUG